AACGGCAAUCGAGAGUAUGCCGUUUAGGUCAACCUCCCACCCGUGUUUAUUUUACCUUGUUGCUUCGGCGGGCCCGCCUUUACUGGCCGCCGGGGGGCUCACGCCCCCGGGCCCGCGCCCGCCGAACACACCCCCGAACUCUGUCUGAAGAUUGAAGUCUGAGUGAAAAUAUAAAUUAUUUAUAACUUUCAACUACGGAUCUCUUGGUUCCGGCAUCGCUGAAGAACGCAGCUAAUUGCAAUACCCAGUGUGAAUUGCAAAUUCUCUGAAUCAUCUUAGUCUUUGAUCGUUUCUUGCGCCCCCUGGCAUUCCGGGUGGUAUGCCUGUCUGUGCGUCAUUGCUGCCUACAAGCACAGAUUGUGUGUUGGGCCCCGUCCUCCGAUUCCGGGGGUACGGGCCAGAAUGGGUGCGGCUUCACCGCGUCCGGUCCUCGAGCGUAUGGGGCUUUUUCACCCGCGCUGUAGGCCCGGCCGGCAAUUGCCGAUCUAACAAAAUUUUUGGCCUGGUUGAGUUCUGAUCAGGUUCGGAUACCUGCUGAACUUUUACAUUUCUUCCCCGGAGGAAAUUUCCUAGUGAGGGGCCUUUGGGUCCUCCUCCCCCGUGUUUAUUUUACCUUGUUGCUUCGGCGGGCCGCCUUUACUGGCCGCCGGGGGGGCUCCGCCCCCGGCCGCGCCGCCAAAAACCCCCUAUCUGAGAAAAGUAGCCGGAGUGAAAAAUAAUAAAUUAUUUUAAAACUUUUCUCCACGGGGAACCUUGGGGUUCGCCCCAAUUAAGAACCCCCAAAUUGGCAUCUCUAGGGGUAAAUUUGGAUUUUUGAAAAAAUAAUCUUUUUUUAUUAACCCCCCGCCCUGUCUUGGGGGGGGGGGCUAGCAGCUUAACCCCCUCCGGUCGCAUCUGGGUUGUGGGUCCUCCACCCCCUGACUAUCACAAAAAUUAAUAGACCAAUAAGUUAUCUCUUCUACCCGAGUUGGUGUUUGUUAUUUGGUGGCUUUUUUCCCCC
Molecule: unclassified non-coding RNA, 1000 nt
Filed under: Penicillium chrysogenum
Lineage: Eukaryota; Fungi; Ascomycota; Eurotiomycetes; Eurotiales; Aspergillaceae
Description: sequence contains ITS1 and 5.8S rRNA gene
Rfam family: 5.8S ribosomal RNA (bases 184-337)
Source: RNAcentral